CUUGUUCGUCUCUUUGAAAGCAUCAAUAAAAUUGGAAGGAUACAGAAAAUAUUAGAAUGGCCCAUGUGCAAGGAUGACACACACGAAUCAAGGAUUGUUUAUGUUGAC
Small nuclear RNA from Magnolia sinica, 108 nucleotides. The record is from RefSeq and is a predicted model, not a curated record. Lineage: Eukaryota; Viridiplantae; Streptophyta; Magnoliopsida; Magnoliales; Magnoliaceae.